Molecule: long non-coding RNA, 525 nt
Filed under: Gallus gallus (chicken)
Lineage: Eukaryota; Metazoa; Chordata; Aves; Galliformes; Phasianidae
Description: lncRNA (ENSGALG00010026265.1)
Source: RNAcentral
AUGGAUGUUCAUGCCUAGGAUAUUGCUGCAGGCCUGGAGUGCAGAGCCUCCAUCACUCCCAGUGACACUCCUUAUUAGUGAGCUCAUUAAUCAAGCAGCUCUGCCAUCCUAGGGCUGCAGGGAGUUCUCAUCACACGGGAUGCUGUCAGGGGCUUUGUCAUAUCGAGGCACCUCACACGCAACUCCUGAGCCUCAGCCACCUCUUUCUCAGCACCGAUGGAUGAGUGGCCUCUGGCCAUCGGAGAUAAUCAUCAUCGUAGGAUCAUUCAAGUUGGAAGGGACCCUUAAAGGCCAUCUGGUUCCACUCCCUGCAGUGCACAGGGGCAGCCACAGCUCCAGCAGUGCUCAGAGCCCCGUCCAGCCUGACCUUGGCUGUCUGCAGGGACGGGGCACCACCGCCUCUCUGGAGGAGUGAAGACCAGGACUCCCACGUGUUCUUCUGUUUGGCCUUUCCCAGGGGGUUAUUGGUCAUCAGAAACAAUCCAGCACCAAGCACAGCUGUCCCCAGCACAAUGCCUGCAAGUG